AUUGAACGCUGGCGGCAGGCCUAACACAUGCAAGUCGAGCGGAUGAAGGGAGCUUGCUCCUGGCUUCAGCGGCGGACGGGUGAGUAAUGCCUAGGAAUCUGCCUGGUAGUGGGGGAUAACGUCCGGAACCGGGCGCUAAUACCGCAUACGUCCUGAGGGAGAAAGUGGGGGCUCUUCGGACCUCACGCUAUCAGAUGAGCCUAGGUCGGAUUAGCUAGUUGGUGGGGUAAAGGCCUACCAAGGCGACGAUCCGUAACUGGUCUGAGAGGAUGAUCAGUCACACUGGGACUGAGACACGGUCCAGACUCCUACGGGAGGCAGCAGUGGGGAAUAUUGGACAAUGGGCGAAAGCCUGAUCCAGCCAUGCCGCGUGUGUGAAGAAGGUCUUCGGAUUGUAAAGCACUUUAAGUUGGGAGGAAGGGCAGUAAGUUAAUACCUUGCUGUUUUGACGUUACCAACAGAAUAAGCACCGGCUAACUUCGUG
RNAcentral lists this ribosomal RNA (484 nucleotides) under uncultured bacterium. Its description in RNAcentral is "partial 16S ribosomal RNA". It matches the Rfam family "Bacterial small subunit ribosomal RNA", at positions 30 to 507 of the family's 1533-position model. The record is from RNAcentral.